Molecule: long non-coding RNA, 337 nt
Filed under: Brassica napus (rape)
Lineage: Eukaryota; Viridiplantae; Streptophyta; Magnoliopsida; Brassicales; Brassicaceae
Description: long non-coding RNA (BNAP_LNC026149)
Source: RNAcentral
ACUUUCAAUCCAUUCAUGAACACAUAACCGCUUACACAAAACUGGGGCAUGUAGACACUGGAAGUUACAUACAGACACCAAAUAUACAACAAAAAGAAAAAGCUCAGCCAAGAACACAAAAGGGAAUGUUACUAUCUUUUCAUUCAACCGUCAAAUAAGGCCCUCAAUCUCUGAGAAGCUUAUGCCGUCAAACUUGAUCCUCCACCAGAGGAGCGACCAUCGCCAUGUCAUCAGCCGACAAGAAUUAAACAACCACUGUUAGGUUAGCAAACUUAUCUAGCCUUAAAGACCUCAAAGCAAGCUUUAUCGGGUCAUGGUGACGACGUAAUUCACACCU